Molecule: long non-coding RNA, 2350 nt
Filed under: Ananas comosus (pineapple)
Lineage: Eukaryota; Viridiplantae; Streptophyta; Magnoliopsida; Poales; Bromeliaceae
Description: long non-coding RNA (ACOM_LNC035408)
Source: RNAcentral
AUUUUCAGUUUAGUAGUUCAGAAUCUGAUACUUCUCGCCGGAGUCCUUCUGAAUGUCCGUUUGCUCUCAAAUUUGAUAGUCAGGCUCGGUUAAAAUUAAUAAGAAGAACGAAACCUUAAUCUUUAAGUUUGGACCAUUUUUGGUCACCAAAAACUCUACCGACUAAAAUCGUUAGCAAAUAACAGUCAGAUUUUAUUUUUCACUUUUCAGGUGUCUGAAUGACAUGAAACUUUAAAUCUAGCCUCAUAAAAAUAAUUCCGACAUAUUCUCAAAUUUUCAUAACUUUCCGACACUAUGAAUUGUCUGCUAAAAGAUCAGCCCCGUUUCUUACAGAAAAUUUUAAAUCUUCUUUUUCCGUUCCAAUUUCAGCACAAGUCAUUUUCGACUUCUUUAAGUCCAAUAAAAAUAGUAUCUUACACUAUUUUUAUUUAUACUUACUUUUAUAUUAAAAAUCUUGUACAUUACACCGGAUGUGGCGCGAAGUGAUCAAGACAAGGAGGAGUACUUUGUUCGGGGGCUCCGUGUCACGCCCCAAGACCCGGCCUAGGCCCGCCCGGUGCGUGUCCAGACCUGCCAUAUGCCUACACAUAUAAGGCGUCUACAACGAUUGCGAAUUAAAGAACAAUAAAUAGAGAAUAUCUAGAGAUAUCAGAGCAAUUAUACAGCUAGGUUCUAUCAACCAGAAGAAACCACAGAAGCUAGACUACUAAAGUAAAAAGUAAAGUAGUACAUCAUAAGUCUCAAAAUACAAAUAGUGGGUGGUCUCUACGAAAUGGUACAAGUCUCUCAACCUCUCCAAAAAAAACAAAAGAGAGGUAGACCACCGAUCCACCAAUCUCUCGCUAGCUAACUCGAGGCGAUUCCUUUCCCGCGAUCCCAAGCCUCUCCUGGGGUGGAAGGCUCUGAAUGAAAACAUAAAACAGGGGGAAGUGAGAACUAUAAUUUAUAGUUCCCAGUGGGCAAUUACUGACCAUAGCCAAAUGCACCACUAGGCCCAAAAGCAUAGGUAGAUAAAGGAACUACUAGUAAACUGCAAAUAGGAAAAGCAUGUAAUGAAAUGCUAAUCUACAAUGCCACAAUAUCACAUGAUGUCAACGUAGUGUACAUCUACCCCAUCAUAAUCCAAUAUACCAAUACAUGAUUAAUAUGCUUUAUCAUGACCACCAAGUAUACUAUUAUGCGAAAACAAUAGUACAUGUCCUAAUGUCCACUACUAUGCUAAAAGCAUGUUCAAGUAAACCAACUACUAAGUCUAUCUAGUAGUGAUUGUCAUACACCGGUUUAAUGUCAUUGUUCAAUCUUGUUUUAGGACCUACACAAGUGUAGUCCGGCUUGUGCCGCCUAAGUGCCAGUGGUAGCUCCAGCAUUCCCCCUCGAGGAAUGAGUCUAACCCUCCAGGCCCCCGUAGGCUUCUCAAUACCGCACGAGCGAGCAAGCAUAGUCAUCGUCACAACGAUUCGGCCAUCAUGGCUCAACCAUAGAAAUGAUCGCUAGCAACUCAUAGGUCUAGUUUAACAUCCCCAAGUGAAGUUCCAACAUUCACCAUGUCUAGUGCCUCUUUAGGGUACUAGAAUAUUACUAUAUCCAAGCAUGUUCCAAUUUUCAUGCCUCUUUAUGGCAUUAUUUACUAGGUUCAUACAUGUCCUAAGCUCAAUGUCGCUUUAUAACAUUAGCUUACCCUAUUAGUAAUAGGUUAAUACGCAUGCUCUCUAGUAUGAUCUCAUAUUGCUAAUAUGUACCUAGCAUGUAUUCCACAAUGCAUAUAAAUAUUAACAUGCAUCUAUCCACUAGCAUAUGGUUUCAAUGUGUCCGUAUGCAACUAUCAACUUAGCAUAGUUCUCAUAAUGCUACAUGCAUACACUUUCCAAUGCAACUACCAACUUAGCAUAAUUCUCAUAAUAUUAACAUGCACAUGCAAUUCACAUAUCAUUCAAGUCUAAUGCCUCUCUAUGGCUUUACUUUGCUAGGCUCAUUCAUAGCUCAAGCCCGAUGUCGCAUUACGACAUUAGCUUCCUAACUCACAAGUUAUUCAAAUCCAAAGCCACUUUAUGGCCUAAUGCAUUCUCCUAUGUCCAAUGAACUUUAUGUCCAAGACAUAUUACAUUUGUAAUGUCUACUAUAUGAAGCAUGAUUCCAAGUCCCAAAUAGAAUGCUAAACCCAUGCAUAAGUCUCACUUGCAAGCUCUCUACUACAUAGAGGUCCGAAAAUGCAUUGUAUAUAACAUAAGCAUUUCAAGCAUUCUAAAAUUCACAAAUAAUGCGUCUAUCAUGAAAAUGCGUGAUUUUCCAUUUUACGAUACUUAAAUCCACAUAAAUGAGAUUUUCUCAUUUGUAGCGAGGUCAAACCCAC